AGACUGAGGAGGGAAGGAACUGCUUAAGGUCCAAAGAUACCAGCUCAUCAGUGAAGCAUGGUGGAGGUAGUAUCAUGACCUCAUCAGUGAAGCAUGGUGGAGGUAGUAUCAUGACCUCAUCAGUGAAGCAUGGUGGAGGUAGUAUCAUGGCCUCAUCAGUGAAGCAUGGUGGAGGUAGUAUCAUGACCUCAUCAGUGAAGCAUGGUGGAGGUAGUAUCAUGACCUCAUCAGUGAAGCAUGGUGGAGGUAGUAUCAUGACCUCAUCAGUGAAGCAUGGUGGAGGUAGUAUCAUGACCUCAUCAGUGAAGCAUGGUGGAGGUAGUAUCAUGACCUCAUCAGUGAAGCAUGGUGGAGGUAGUAUCAUGGUGUGGCCCUGUAUGGCUGCCAGUAGAACUGCUUC
Long non-coding RNA from Acanthochromis polyacanthus (spiny chromis), 400 nucleotides. RefSeq lists it as uncharacterized. The transcript is spliced from 3 exons. Lineage: Eukaryota; Metazoa; Chordata; Actinopteri; Pomacentridae. The record is from RefSeq and is a predicted model, not a curated record.